This 573-nucleotide ribosomal RNA is filed under the name Taphrina veronaerambellii. Its description in RNAcentral is "eukaryotic LSU rRNA". It matches the Rfam family "Eukaryotic large subunit ribosomal RNA", at positions 62 to 648 of the family's 3401-position model. Lineage: Eukaryota; Fungi; Ascomycota; Taphrinomycetes; Taphrinales; Taphrinaceae. The record is from RNAcentral.
AAACUAACUAGGAUGCCUUCAGUAACGGCGAGCGAAGCAGGCAUAGCUCAAAUUUGUAAUCUGGCGUCUUUGACGUCCGAGUUGUAUUUUCUAGAAGCGAGUUCGGCGACAGCUCCUACCCAAGUCCGUUGGAACGCGGCGUCAUGGAGGGUGAGAAUCCCGUGAAUGGUAGGAUGUCUGCUGCUAUGUGAACCGCCUUCGAAGAGUCGAGUUGUUUGGGAAUGCAGCUCUAAAUGGGAGGUAAAUUUCUUCUAAAGCUAAAUAUUGGCCAGAGACCGAUAGCGAACAAGUAGAGUGAUCGAAAGAUGAAAAGAACUUUGAAAAGAGAGUUAAACAGUACGUGAAAUUGUUGAAAGGGAAGCGCUUGAGAUCAGACUUCCUGUCUGAACUGUCCUUGCUUUUGCUUGGGUCAACAGUUCAGGCGUGGAGGCCAGCAUCAGUUUUGACGGCCGGAUAAAGGCCUUGGGAAGGUAGCUCCUCUCGGGGAGUGUUAUAGCCCAGGGUGUAAUACGGCCAGUUGGGACUGAGGACCGCGGCUUUGCCUAGGAUGCUGGCGUAAUGGUCUUAAGCGAC